UACGAAGGGGGCUAGCGUUGCUCGGAAUCACUGGGCGUAAAGGGUGCGUAGGCGGGUCUUUAAGUCAGGGGUGAAAUCCUGGAGCUCAACUCCAGAACUGCCUUUGAUACUGAAGAUCUUGAGUUCGGGAGAGGUGAGUGGAACUGCGAGUGUAGAGGUGAAAUUCGUAGAUAUUCGCAGGAACACCAGUGGCGAAGGCGGCUCACUGGACUGGUACUGACGCUGAUGCGCGAAAGCGUGGGGAGCAAACAGG
RNAcentral lists this ribosomal RNA (253 nucleotides) under uncultured bacterium. RNAcentral describes it as "partial 16S ribosomal RNA". It matches the Rfam family "Bacterial small subunit ribosomal RNA", at positions 524 to 776 of the family's 1533-position model. The record is from RNAcentral.